AACGAACGCUGGCGGCAUGCCUAAUACAUGCAAGUCGAACGAGAUCUUCGGAUCUAGUGGCGCACGGGUGCGUAACGCGUGGGAAUCUGCCCUUGGGUUCGGAAUAACUUCGGGAAACUGAAGCUAAUACCGGAUGAUGACGUAAGUCCAAAGAUUUAUCGCCCAAGGAUGAGCCCGCGUAGGAUUAGCUAGUUGGUGGGGUAAAGGCCUACCAAGGCGACGAUCCUUAGCUGGUCUGAGAGGAUGAUCAGCCACACUGGGACUGAGACACGGCCCAGACUCCUACGGGAGGCAGCAGUAGGGAAUAUUGGACAAUGGGCGAAAGCCUGAUCCAGCAAUGCCGCGUGAGUGAUGAAGGCCUUAGGGUUGUAAAGCUCUUUUACCCGGGAUGAUAAUGACAGUACCGGGAGAAUAAGCUCCGGCUAACUCCGUGCCAGCAGCCGCCGUAA
This 449-nucleotide ribosomal RNA is filed under the name uncultured bacterium. Its description in RNAcentral is "partial 16S ribosomal RNA". It matches the Rfam family "Bacterial small subunit ribosomal RNA", at positions 29 to 523 of the family's 1533-position model. The record is from RNAcentral.